CUGUGAUGGUAGCGUCACCAUUUGCUAAAUGGUUUGCUGUGAAGACUACUAGAGUACUACUGUCCAGGUUACAUUUGAAAAGCUUCUUUGCCAAUCCUCAGCGAAUGUCAGUUGCUCCCUGCUGGGCUCCAGCUUUUCACCUCUGGUUCCUACAUCUGGAUUGUAGCCAUAAGUGGACUUAUGUCCGGUCUGUGCUACGACAGCAAAAUGUUCCAGGUGCAUCAGGUGCUCUGCAUCCCCAGCUGGAUGGCAAAAUUCUUUUCUUGGACACUUGAACCCAUCUUCUCUUCUUCAGAACCCACCAGCGAAGCCAGAAUUGGGAUGGGAGCCACGCUGGACAUCCAGAGACAGCAGAGAAUGGAGCUGCUGGACCGGCAGCUGAUGUUCUCUCAGUUUGCACAAGGGAGGCGACAGAGACAGCAGCAGGGAGGAAUGAUCAAUUGGAAUCGUCUUUUUCCUCCUUUACGUCAGCGACAAAACGUAAACUAUCAGGGCGGUCGGCAGUCUGAGCCAGCAGCGCCCCCUCUAGAAGUUUCUGAGGAACAGGUCGCCCGGCUCAUGGAGAUGGGAUUUUCCAGAGGUGAUGCUUUGGAAGCCCUGAGAGCUUCAAACAAUGACCUCAAUGUCGCCACCAACUUCCUGCUGCAGCACUGAUAUUCCCAGGCCAACACUGGGACCGGACCGGCAGCCGAGUGACAGUGCGUGGUCCCCACCAUCAGAUCAGCCCGGGGACCGAGCAUCUCUGGUGCUGAUGUUCUUGUGGGAAGAGGGAGGUUCCACCACACCCCUGCCCUCAACCGCAAGACUGUUGUCGUUUUAGUGUGGAGAUAAGUUUGCCAUUACAUUAGCAUGUAUUUUCUAUCUAUAUUUUUUAUUGGGCAUUUUCCCUAGGUUGGAGAGUCAGCACUCGUUUUGAAUGUGUUUAAAAUGCAUUAAAAUGGAAGAUUUCUGCAGGCAGUUGAAUGGCACUCCAGAUGGGGAAUUGCUGUAACCCUCUUACUGUAACGUGUCAUCUCC
RNAcentral lists this small RNA (1017 nucleotides) under Pan troglodytes (chimpanzee). RNAcentral's name for it is "processed transcript". Lineage: Eukaryota; Metazoa; Chordata; Mammalia; Primates; Hominidae. The record is from RNAcentral.